CGCUGAGUAUCUUCAGGAAAAAUGAGUUCCAUAAGAAGUGGCAUCCUCCUCCAAUGGGAAG
Panthera pardus (leopard) is the source of this 61-nucleotide unclassified non-coding RNA. The record is from Ensembl. Lineage: Eukaryota; Metazoa; Chordata; Mammalia; Carnivora; Felidae.